UAAAAAAAGCGAUUUUUGCAUCAAGUUUCGACCUUGACCCAUAGAAAAACUUGUUUUUCUUUUU
This 64-nucleotide transfer RNA is filed under the name Succineidae gen. n. sp. z RM-2021. RNAcentral's name for it is "tRNA-Arg". The record is from RNAcentral. Lineage: Eukaryota; Metazoa; Mollusca; Gastropoda; Stylommatophora; Succineidae.